RNAcentral lists this ribosomal RNA (486 nucleotides) under uncultured Glomeromycotina. RNAcentral describes it as "SSU rRNA". It matches the Rfam family "Eukaryotic small subunit ribosomal RNA", at positions 562 to 1052 of the family's 1831-position model. Lineage: Eukaryota; Fungi; Glomeromycota. The record is from RNAcentral.
UGGUGCCAGCAGCCGCGGUAAUUCCAGCUCCAAUAGCGUAUAUUAAAGUUGUUGCAGUUAAAAAGCUCGUAGUUGAAUUUCGGGGUUAGUAGGUUGGUCAUGCCUCUGGUAUGUACCGGUCUCACUGAUUCCUCCUUCCUUAUGAACCGUAAUGCCAUUAAUUUGGUGUUGCGGGGAAUUUGGACUGUUACUUUGAAAAAAUUAGAGUGUUUAAAGCAAGCUAACGCUUGAAUACAUUAGCAUGGAAUAAUGAAAUAGGACGUUCGAUCUUAUUUUGUUGGUUUCUAGGAUUGACGUAAUGAUUAAUAGGGAUAGUUGGGGGCAUUAGUAUUCAAUUGUCAGAGGUGAAAUUCUUGGAUUUAUUGAAGACUAACUACUGCGAAAGCAUUUGCCAAGGAUGUUUUCAUUAAUCAAGAACGAAAGUUAGGGGAUCGAAGACGAUCAGAUACCGUCGUAGUCUUAACCAUAAACUAUGCCGACUAGGGA